RNAcentral lists this ribosomal RNA (417 nucleotides) under uncultured archaeon. RNAcentral's name for it is "bacterial SSU rRNA". It matches the Rfam family "Archaeal small subunit ribosomal RNA", at positions 455 to 871 of the family's 1478-position model. The record is from RNAcentral.
GUGCCAGCAGCCGCCGGUAAAACCAGCACCUCAAGUGGUCAGGAUGAUUAUUGGGCCUAAAGCAUCCGUAGCCGGCUCUGUAAGUUUUCGGUUAAAUCUGUACGCUUAACGUACAGGCCGCCGGGAAUACUGCAAAGCUAGGGAGUGGGAGAAGUAGGCGGUACUCGGUAGGAAGUGGUAAAAUGCUUUGAUCUAUCGAUGACCACCUGUGGCGAAGGCGGUCUACUAGAACACGUCCGACGGUGAGGGAUGAAAGCUGGGGGGAGCAAACCGGAUUACAUACCCGGGUAGUCCCAGCUGUAAACGAUGUGGACUUCGUGUCUUGGUACUGUAAAGUGCUGAGGUGCGGAAGCGAAGGCGUUAAGUCCACUGCCUGGGGAGUAAGGUCGCAAGACUGAAACUCAAAGGAAUUGACGG